Molecule: ribosomal RNA, 699 nt
Filed under: uncultured bacterium
Lineage: Bacteria
Description: bacterial SSU rRNA
Rfam family: Bacterial small subunit ribosomal RNA
Source: RNAcentral
AGAGUUUGAUCAUGGCUCAGAACGAACGCUGGCGGCAGGCCUAACACAUGCAAGUCGAGCGCACUCUUCGGAGUGAGCGGCGGACGGGUUAGUAACGCGUGGGAACGUACCCAGAUCUACGGAAUAGCCUCGGGAAACUGAGAGUAAUACCGUAUACGCCCUUCGGGGGAAAGAUUUAUCGGAUUUGGAUCGGCCCGCGUUAGAUUAGAUAGUUGGUGAGGUAACGGCUCACCAAGUCUACGAUCUAUAGCUGGUUUUAGAGGAUGAUCAGCAACACUGGGACUGAGACACGGCCCAGACUCCUACGGGAGGCAGCAGUGGGGAAUCUUGGACAAUGGGCGCAAGCCUGAUCCAGCCAUGCCGCGUGAGUGAUGAAGGCCUUAGGGUCGUAAAGCUCUUUCGCCAGAGAUGAUAAUGACAGUAUCUGGUAAAGAAACCCCGGCUAACUCCGUGCCAGCAGCCGCGGUAAUACGGAGGGGGUUAGCGUUGUUCGGAAUUACUGGGCGUAAAGCGCGCGUAGGCGGACCAGAAAGUUAGGGGUGAAAUCCCGGGGCUCAACCCCGGAACUGCCUCUAAAACUCCUGAUCUAGAGUUCGAGAGAGGUGAGUGGAAUUCCGAGUGUAGAGGUGAAAUUCGUAGAUAUUCGGAGGAACACCAGUGACGAAGGCGGCUCACUGGCUCGAUACUGACGCUGAGGUG